GACGAACGCUGGCGGCGUGCUUAACACAUGCAAGUCGAACGGAAAGGCCCUGCUUUUGUGGGGUGCUCGAGUGGCGAACGGGUGAGUAACACGUGAGUAACCUGCCCUUGACUUUGGGAUAAGUUCAGGAAACUGGGGCUAAUACCGGAUAGGAGCUCCUGCUGCAUGGUGGGGGUUGGAAAGUUUCGGCGGUUGGGGAUGGACUCGCGGCUUAUCAGCUUGUUGGUGGGGUAGUGGCUUACCAAGGCUUUGACGGGUAGCCGGCCUGAGAGGGUGACCGGCCACAUUGGGACUGAGAUACGGCCCAGACUCCUACGGGAGGCAGCAGUGGGGAAUAUUGCACAAUGGGCGGAAGCCUGAUGCAGCAACGCCGCGUGCGGGAUGACGGCCUUCGGGUUGUAAACCGCUUUCGCCUGUGACGAAGCGUGAGUGACGGUAAUGGGUAAAGAAGCACCGGCUAACUACGUG
RNAcentral lists this ribosomal RNA (468 nucleotides) under uncultured bacterium. RNAcentral's name for it is "partial 16S ribosomal RNA". It matches the Rfam family "Bacterial small subunit ribosomal RNA", at positions 28 to 507 of the family's 1533-position model. The record is from RNAcentral.